Molecule: ribosomal RNA, 497 nt
Filed under: uncultured bacterium
Lineage: Bacteria
Description: partial 16S ribosomal RNA
Rfam family: Bacterial small subunit ribosomal RNA
Source: RNAcentral
GGUGAACGCUGGCGGCGUGCCUAAUACAUGCAAGUCGAGCGAACGGACGAGAAGCUUGCUUCUCUGAUGUUAGCGGCGGACGGGUGAGUAACACGUGGAUAACCUACCUAUAAGACUGGGAUAACUUCGGGAAACCGGAGCUAAUACCGGAUAAUAUUUUGAACCGCAUGGUUCAAAAGUGAAAGACGGUCUUGCUGUCACUUAUAGAUGGAUCCGCGCUGCAUUAGCUAGUUGGUAAGGUAACGGCUUACCAAGGCAACGAUGCAUAGCCGACCUGAGAGGGUGAUCGGCCACCCUGGAACUGAGACACGGUCCAGACUCCUACGGGAGGCAGCAGUAGGGAAUCUUCCGCAAUGGGCGAAAGCCUGACGGAGCAACGCCGCGUGAGUGAUGAAGGUCUUCGGAUCGUAAAACUCUGUUAUUAGGGAAGAACAUAUGUGUAAGUAACUGUGCACAUCUUGACGGUACCUAAUCAGAAAGCCACGGCUAACUACGUG